UCCCAGUGCGCGUGCGCACUCAGUCUCGCGCCCUUUUGGACAGCAAGUGUUUUACUCAUCAAUCGUCUUGACGUCCACAGAAAGCCAAAGUUCACGGAGAAAUGGAAAAUAAACGUAUGGGGUGUCACAAAACAAAAAAAGGGAAGAGUGCGAAGAAGAUGGAAAAAGAGGGUUUUAACGUGGUUGACGGCAUUUGGACACCUCUGCUCCAGACAGCAUUAAGUUAUGUCAGCGAAUCAAGGGGGAGGUUUGUAAAUGUUGAGGUUAGCUGAAGCUACAACGAGUCAAAACGACAGGUUACUGUUGUCUGAUCAUUUGUCCAGGUCAUUCAGAUGUGAGGAUGGAAAGAGACAAGAAGAGAAAGAAUGAGGACAGACAGGAGAAAGCGACAGUGGAGAAGAACAGACAAGAAGAGAAGGAGACAGUGAUGGAGUCUGCUAUAGAGCAGACCAGUGAUUAUGUAAGAUGGCGGGGACUUCGAGACAUGACCGAGAUAUGGCGCUGAACGCCAAGCGUCAACUGUCGGUGUGUUCUGACCCAGUGGAAAGACUCCGCCUCCAGUGUCUGGCCAGGGGUUCGGCUGGGAUCAAAGGUCUCGGCAGAGUCUUCAGGAUCAUGGACGACAACCAAAACCGUACGCUGGACUUGAAGGAGUUCCUGAAGGGAGUCAACGACUACGGCAUCCUGAUGGACAAACAGGAAGCUGCUGCUCUCUUCCAGCAUUUCGACCGUGACGGCAGCGGGGCCAUCGACUUUGACGAGUUCCUGGUCACGCUAAGGCCCGCCAUGUCGAAGUCCCGCAAGGAGGUGGUCAUGCAGGCCUUCCGCAAAUUGGACAAGACCGGCGACGGCGUGAUCACCAUCGAAGAUCUGAGGGGGGUUUACCACGCCAAGUACCACCCUAAGUACCAGAACGGGGAAUGGACAGAGGACCAGGUCUUCAAGACAUUCCUGGAUAACUUUGAUUCUCCCUACGACAAAGACGGCAAGCGAACAACACGGCGGCUCCAGUCCAACCCGGAAAUGUGGCCGCUACAGCAGGUGCAUGGCGAGGCUGGUCCGCCCCCGCGGUGCUCAACUCGCCCAACUCGGACGGACCGAAGCCGAAAAACCGGCAGACUUGUUGUCGUCCGCACGCCCCUCCGUCACUUCCUGGAAGAAGUCCACGCUUGUUGACGUCCCCCUCAGCCGCCUUCCCGACUCACUCACCGCCGCACUGGACUUUCCUGUCAGGUGGAUUACAGCAGCGCGCUGUGAUUGGAGGAGGGGCGCCGUGACGUCACGGAGUGAGUGGAGCCUUUGUAAGGUGACGUCAGCGUUACUCCCAUACACUCCCUGUGCAGGUAUGGGCGCUUGUUGGCCACGCCCACAUCUCGCCACCCACAGGAAGGAUCUGGAGGUGGGCGGAGCCAACCAAACAUCGACAGUCGAUACCAAGGGCAUAGUAUCUUGUGAUGAGAUUGAUAUUUUUCAGUGACCCUCAUUCAGAAAGCGUUUUUUCCCAAAAUAUUUGUUGUUAUUAUAUUGUCUUGUAUUGCUACAUGUAUAUAUUUAUAUAUUUUGUUGUAUUUAUAAUGUAAAAUUGUCUUAUAUUGUUUGUGACAGUGCAUCCGGAAAGUAUUCACUUUUUUUGCCUUAUUAAAAAAUGGAAUGAAGUCCUUUUUGUCCUCAAAAUUCUACACA
Molecule: RNA transcript, 1683 nt
Organism: Entelurus aequoreus (snake pipefish)
Lineage: Eukaryota; Metazoa; Chordata; Actinopteri; Syngnathiformes; Syngnathidae
Gene: capslb
Gene name: calcyphosine-like b
Exons: 9
Source: RefSeq, a predicted model, not a curated record